This 880-nucleotide ribosomal RNA is filed under the name Bacillus altitudinis. Its description in RNAcentral is "bacterial SSU rRNA". It matches the Rfam family "Bacterial small subunit ribosomal RNA", at positions 62 to 922 of the family's 1533-position model. Lineage: Bacteria; Bacillati; Bacillota; Bacilli; Caryophanales; Bacillaceae. The record is from RNAcentral.
UCGAGCGGACAGAAGGGAGCUUGCUCCCGGAUGUUAGCGGCGGACGGGUGAGUAACACGUGGGUAACCUGCCUGUAAGACUGGGAUAACUCCGGGAAACCGGAGCUAAUACCGGAUAGUUCCUUGAACCGCAUGGUUCAAGGAUGAAAGACGGUUUCGGCUGUCACUUACAGAUGGACCCGCGGCGCAUUAGCUAGUUGGUGAGGUAACGGCUCACCAAGGCGACGAUGCGUAGCCGACCUGAGAGGGUGAUCGGCCACACUGGGACUGAGACACGGCCCAGACUCCUACGGGAGGCAGCAGUAGGGAAUCUUCCGCAAUGGACGAAAGUCUGACGGAGCAACGCCGCGUGAGUGAUGAAGGUUUUCGGAUCGUAAAGCUCUGUUGUUAGGGAAGAACAAGUGCAAGAGUAACUGCUUGCACCUUGACGGUACCUAACCAGAAAGCCACGGCUAACUACGUGCCAGCAGCCGCGGUAAUACGUAGGUGGCAAGCGUUGUCCGGAAUUAUUGGGCGUAAAGGGCUCGCAGGCGGUUUCUUAAGUCUGAUGUGAAAGCCCCCGGCUCAACCGGGGAGGGUCAUUGGAAACUGGGAAACUUGAGUGCAGAAGAGGAGAGUGGAAUUCCACGUGUAGCGGUGAAAUGCGUAGAGAUGUGGAGGAACACCAGUGGCGAAGGCGACUCUCUGGUCUGUAACUGACGCUGAGGAGCGAAAGCGUGGGGGAGCGAACAGGAUUAGAUACCCUGGUAGUCCACGCCGUAAACGAUGAGUGCUAAGUGUUAGGGGGUUUCCGCCCCUUAGUGCUGCAGCUAACGCAUUAAGCACUCCGCCUGGGGGAGUACGGUCGCAAGACUGAAACUCAAAGGAAUUGACGGGGGGCC